CAGCCGCCGCGGUAAUACCGGCGGCCCGAGUGGCGGUCACUAUUAUUGGGCUUAAAGCGUCCGUAGCCGGGUUGGGAAGUCCUCCGGGAAAUCUGGCCGCUUAACGGUCAGAAUGCCGGAGGAUACUCCCAGCCUAGGGAGCGGGAGAGGCCGAGGGGAUUCCCGGAGUAGGGGUGGAAUCCUAUAAUCCCGGGAGGAACACCUGUGGCGAAGGCGCUCGGCUGGAACGCGUCCGACGGUGAGGGACGAAGGCCAGGGGAGCAAACCGGAUUAGAUACCCGGGUAGUCCUGGCUGUAAACGAUGCGGACUUUGUGUCGGACAAGCUAUGAGCUUGUCCGGUGCCGGAGGGAAACCGUUAAGUCCGCCGCCUGGGGAGUACGGCCGCAAGGCUGAAACUUAAAGGAAUUGGCGGG
This 414-nucleotide ribosomal RNA is filed under the name uncultured microorganism. RNAcentral describes it as "bacterial SSU rRNA". It matches the Rfam family "Archaeal small subunit ribosomal RNA", at positions 459 to 872 of the family's 1478-position model. The record is from RNAcentral.